GAAACGAUUCGCAUUUGGUUUUUUAUUCUUUUUUCAUUUGUAAGAAAGUUUUCGCGCGAAAUUGCUCUACAGUCGGAUAAGGUUCUUCUAUGUCCAAACGACACCAGCGGUUCCCUCCGUCGGACUAGUUCGACGAAGGCUGUACCGUUCGCCGCGAUUGUGCGCGGCACGAUGCGCGAAUACUUUGACAUUCAAAUACUGAAUUUUCUAUUUUCAAAUUAAACUCUAUGGGGUCGCUGACCGCAAUGAAACAGAAAAAUAUACCUAGAUAAAUAACUGAGGAUGUAAGAGAGAAUACGAAGUAUAGAUCGAGAAUUAGAAAAGAAUUCACGAAAAUUGGAACGCUUUUAAUUAUUAUAUUAGAAUAUAUACAAAUAUUUAAAGCCUUAAACAUCCAUAUUGCCCAUAUACCCUUUGCCUAAUGUCUGUCUGAAUAAGGAAGCGGUUCCACCCUAUGGUUCUUUCUUUAAUACUUACCAGUGAAUCAAUAAUGAAGAUUAAUGAAAGCGUCCCAGGCUUUUAAUGUACUUCUGAAUUUGCAAUAUGAAAAAAAAUAAAAUUUGACCUAUUUAAAAAACGGCCAGAAGACAAGGUCUUUAGAAUCAACAUUCAAUAUCAGAGUUUAAGUGAAACAUGAAAAUGCUUACGCAGACAAGGCACGAAUUUAGUGUUGACAUAUUUUUUUGAUAAAAUUCACGUAUCACACCUAUAUGGUGCUGAUAAGGUUAUCAGUUGGGUUUAUUUUCGUUUUUCUAUAACAUUGAUAGACUUUAAUCUAACAUGACCGACCUUGUCUUUGUUUUUAUGAUGUGAUUCAAUUCGUUUCCGAAUCUCUAUAUUAUAAUACGUGAAGCAAAAACUUUGUAUCCCUUUUUACGAAAAUGGCGCGGUCGGAGGAGUAUGAAAUUUUCUACACCUAUAGAGAAUAUAGAGAAGAAGUGCAUAAUGCUAAUAUUUUUUUAAAAUAAUGCAUAAAAGAUACAUUAAAUCCAUAAAGAAAACAUUACACACACUACAUACCACGUAUUUGACGCACACACGCAUGCAUACUAUUUAUUGUCAAACUUUUGUUCUUGACGUCUGUUGUCAAAUUGAGAAUAGAUGAAAUAUUGUUUGUCUUUGUUAAUAUUUUUAUAGUGUAGUGUAGUCUUGGCGAAAUUUGUGAUUACAGAAGUACAAAAUACAAUCAUAAUAGUGUACAAACUUACAAUUCCAAUUAAUUAUAGUCGAAUUUCGACUACUGCGGGGCCACUAGUAUUAUGUAUUCUUCGAGAUUCGAUACCAAAAUAAAUCAGGAUACAUUGUUAGUAUGGUAUGUUAUGAACAAACAGGGGUAUGUUGGCAUCAGUACAGUUGGCCGUUCUGAAUAGAUCACCCAAAAA
Bombyx mori (domestic silkworm) is the source of this 1382-nucleotide long non-coding RNA. RefSeq lists it as uncharacterized. Lineage: Eukaryota; Metazoa; Arthropoda; Insecta; Lepidoptera; Bombycidae. The record is from RefSeq and is a predicted model, not a curated record. The transcript is spliced from 2 exons.